Molecule: microRNA precursor, 71 nt
Filed under: Echinococcus granulosus
Lineage: Eukaryota; Metazoa; Platyhelminthes; Cestoda; Cyclophyllidea; Taeniidae
Description: microRNA egr-mir-10262 precursor
Source: miRBase by way of RNAcentral
GGAAUACCACAAAAAACUGCCGAAAACGAUAAGUAAAAUCCUUUUUUGGUAGUUUUUUGUAGGAUUUCGUA